Molecule: long non-coding RNA, 2141 nt
Organism: Hypanus sabinus (Atlantic stingray)
Lineage: Eukaryota; Metazoa; Chordata; Chondrichthyes; Myliobatiformes; Dasyatidae
Exons: 3
Source: RefSeq, a predicted model, not a curated record
CGCACAUCUCUCGGGCUCGUCACGCAACGUCGCCCACGCCCCGUCCCUUCCGUCAUCACGUAGACGAGUCUGCAGGCGUCCCCGGGCCGCGCGAGAGGGCGAGGGAGCGGUCACGGAAGAAUAACAUCUUUCCUGACAAGGGGAAUCAUUCUGCUGCUUGUUCUAUAUACCCUUGAGAUUGGGUUUGAGGAAAUCCAAGUGUGAGCACAAGGAAUGAUUCAGGAACUGUGUAGUUGGAAUGACUGAAAGUGUUCUGCAAUAAAUUGUGGUCCAUUGGCACAGACCAAGUAUUCUGGAACACCAGACAUUGAGAAGAGGCUCCUCAAUAGCUUAACAGUGUGAAAGGCUGCAGUGGAAUACUUAUGGCUACUACCAAGAAAUUUGUGCCUAUGAAUAGUCUGGCAAAAUCCUCAUGAAUCCUCUGCCAAGGCAAUGCAAGUUAUUCCCAGGGUUGGGGAGGCGCUGCUCUUGGCAUCUACUAGACGUGUUCCAACCCAAACAAUACAUAGCAAGCUGCUCAAUCUGCUGAUCUAUCCCAGGCCACUAGACAAAGCUUCAAGCCAACACUUACACUUUGACGAUGCCUCAAUGACCAGCAUGUAGCUUCUCCAACAAUUUAGCUGUCAGCUUCAGUGGUAGAACAACUCCCAAUCACCAUACCUCCGAAAAGGCAAGUUCAUCCCGACACUGCUAAAAAUGGGAGAACAGGAAUUUCUGCUGCAUAUUCCAGCCUUUUUGGGUGGCCACAUAGACCUGACGGCAUGGGGUCUUUUUUGUUUUCCCUUCAAAUCAUCUCUGCCGUAAUAGAGAGAUUUUCGAAGUGUGUUAAAGAGAAUACGUCAAGAGGAGUAUCCACAUUCAUUAGUUUUUCAGGUAUUUCCUUUUACAAGGGUAAAUGGGAAAAUCCAUCAGCAUUUCCAUGAUUAGUUGUCCUCUUGAAUUUGAUAUUGUCAAUGUGGCCUCCAAGAAACAGAGCCCAUCUCUGCAUUUGUGCUGCUACUGUUAGUGGAACACCCUUCUGUGAUUGAAAAUGGGCACAGGCAGUUGAUGAUCAGUAAUGAGGGUAAACUUUCUCCAAUUACUCAUUGAAAUGUCUUACCCCCCCCCCCCCCCCACCCAAACCAGACUCAAGGCCUCUGUCAAUCUGUGUGUAAUUUUUCUCUGCAGUGGUAAGGGAACAUGAUGCAAAGGCUAUGGGGCGUUCAAUUCCAUCACUCAUAAUAUGUGAUAUGACUGCACCUAUGCCAUUAGGCGAGGUGCCAAAGGCAAACUUCACUGGACAUUGUACAGUGUCUGAUGUCACUAUUUCCUUUCUCUUUUGGAAAGCCACAUUUUGGCUUUUAUUUCUCUCAUGGUCAGAAGGACGCUCUUGCUUCAAUGGAAAGAUGCGGCCCCUCCUAUUCACGCCCAAUGGUUACGGGAUGUGAUGUCAUGCUUAAAUUUAGAGAAGAUUCGAAGUUCAAUCUCUGAAUCUAGUCAAGACUUUCAGACAUUGUGGGGACCUUUUCUGAAUUAUUUUCAAAACCUUUGAUUUGCUGUUAAAGCACAGAUGAUGACUAUUUUUUUCCCCAUUUUUUUGCUUUACUAAUCAGCUUCAGUCUUGGUAUUGGGUUAGAUUUUUUUAAUAUAAUAAAAUUACUAUAUUUCAAUGCUACGGAUUAACUAACCUGUAUGAAUAUAGGGUUAGGAGUCUUUAUAUGCGAUUUAGUAUAAUGUAUUGAUAAAUAUAUUUUUUCCUGUAGUCAGUAUUCUUAUAAGUAAAUUAAUUAAUAAAAAUAUUGGAAAAGAAAAGGAAAGGCACAUCAGACUGCUUUGUCCAUUGCCAUUUCUUCCCGAUCUGUAGUAAUGAGUAAAAGGAGUGGAGCACAGCAGCCAGGUUUGGUGGGAAACUGUUUUAGCAAUUGAUGAACCCUAAAGUGGACCCCAAGCGUGAUAAGUCCUUUGGCCCUGGGCUAUCCACCAGUAUUUGAAUUUUCUCAACACACUGGUGUAAAUUUUGUGUGUCAAUGGUGUGACCACAGCAAGUACUGUUUGGUUUAAAGAAUUCACACCUGGUGAGCUGUGCUCUGAGUCCAUAAUGUGAUAGGAGAGGAGAGUGGACCACAGGAGAAAGAGAGGGGAUCUGAGGAAGUAAUAGGCAG